UGGCGGACGGGUGAGUAAUGUCUGGGAAACUGCCUGAUGGAGGGGGAUAACUACUGGAAACGGUAGCUAAUACCGCAUAACGUCGCAAGACCAAAGAGGGGGACCUUAGGGCCUCUUGCCAUCGGAUGUGCCCAGAUGGGAUUAGCUAGUAGGUGGGGUAAGGGCUCACCUAGGCGACGAUCCCUAGCUGGUCUGAGAGGAUGACCAGCCACACUGAAACUGAGACACGGUCCAG
This 235-nucleotide ribosomal RNA is filed under the name uncultured bacterium. Its description in RNAcentral is "partial 16S ribosomal RNA". It matches the Rfam family "Bacterial small subunit ribosomal RNA", at positions 96 to 334 of the family's 1533-position model. The record is from RNAcentral.